RNAcentral lists this ribosomal RNA (1112 nucleotides) under Exiguobacterium mexicanum. Its description in RNAcentral is "bacterial SSU rRNA". It matches the Rfam family "Bacterial small subunit ribosomal RNA", at positions 31 to 1114 of the family's 1533-position model. The record is from RNAcentral. Lineage: Bacteria; Bacillati; Bacillota; Bacilli; Caryophanales.
UCGCCCUUGGGGGGUGCUAAUACAUGCAAGUCGAGCGCAGGAAAUCGACGGAACCCUUCGGGGGGAAGUCGACGGAAUGAGCGGCGGACGGGUGAGUAACACGUAAAGAACCUGCCCUCAGGUCUGGGAUAACCACGAGAAAUCGGGGCUAAUACCGGAUGGGUCAUCGGACCGCAUGGUCCGAGGAUGAAAGGCGCUCCGGCGUCGCCUGGGGAUGGCUUUGCGGUGCAUUAGCUAGUUGGUGGGGUAAUGGCCCACCAAGGCGACGAUGCAUAGCCGACCUGAGAGGGUGAUCGGCCACACUGGGACUGAGACACGGCCCAGACUCCUACGGGAGGCAGCAGUAGGGAAUCUUCCACAAUGGACGAAAGUCUGAUGGAGCAACGCCGCGUGAACGAUGAAGGCCUUCGGGUCGUAAAGUUCUGUUGUAAGGGAAGAACAAGUGCCGCAGGCAAUGGCGGCACCUUGACGGUACCUUGCGAGAAAGCCACGGCUAACUACGUGCCAGCAGCCGCGGUAAUACGUAGGUGGCAAGCGUUGUCCGGAAUUAUUGGGCGUAAAGCGCGCGCAGGCGGCCUCUUAAGUCUGAUGUGAAAGCCCCCGGCUCAACCGGGGAGGGCCAUUGGAAACUGGGAGGCUUGAGUAUAGGAGAGAAGAGUGGAAUUCCACGUGUAGCGGUGAAAUGCGUAGAGAUGUGGAGGAACACCAGUGGCGAAAGCGACUCUUUGGCCUAUAACUGACGCUGACGCGCGAAAGCGUGGGGAGCAAACAGGAUUAGAUACCCCUGGUAGUCCACCCCGUACACGAUGAGUGCUAGUGUUGGAGGGUUUCCGCCCUUCAGUGCUGAAGCUAACGCAUUAAGCACUCCGUCUGGGGGAGUACGGUCGCAAUGCUGAAACUUCUUAGGAAUGGACGGGGAUCGGCUCAAGCGGUGUACUAGUGGUUUAAUUCGUAUGUAUCGCGUAUGACUUUACCUACUCUUGACAUCCCUCUGACUGCACGAAGAUGUGUCUUCCCCUUCGGUGGUACGGUGUGACAGUGGCUGCACAGUGCCGUCAUCUCGAGCUCCUGAGUGCUGUGUAGUGCGAUCGAUGAUCAGCCUCUUGUCGUAC